GCUUCUUGACAACCGAAUCACAGCUAGUAUGAUGUAUCCUUGAACUAAACAGUCCAGUGGUCAUCCCCUGACUGCUGCUGCCCCAGCUCAUCCAAUCAUUUGGUGGGCCUCAUGCAGUAAGUUGAAGGUUGUAAGAGCAAAGAUAGAAGGCCUUCCCAAAGAAUGAGGACUUCUGCCUGAGGAUAGCAAAUACCAAUUCUGCAUGGGUUUCCUGGCUUCAGACUCAAGAAUGCAAUAUCAACUCUUACUGGAAUUUCUAUCCUACCAGCUUGCCCUGCAAAUUUCAGACUUGCCAGCCCUUGCAAUUGUCUUCUUUGAUUCCUGGGCCAGGUGCAUAUUUUGCUCCGUGAUGAAGGACAUCAACAAGUUUCUGUUGCAGAAUACCCCCAACAUUCAAACUGGAGUUUGGAGGUGGUAAGAAAUCUAGAAGUUCCAGUUCAACUUUGAAGUUACCAGUUGUUUCUGUUUCUCAUAGUUCAUGUGCAUAUUCUAUUCUGAAUUGUCUACCACAUCGACUUUAAGUGACAACAAAAAGACAGUGGCAUUGCAUACAUUGUGUAGCCAACUUCCACAAGUGCAUAUUUCAAAUAUCUAUAAUGUAUCUGUUAUAUGUAUUAGUAUGUGUGUAUAUGUGUGUGAAUGUAUAUAUACAUAUGCAUGCAUACAUACAUAGAGAUGAGGAUAGAGCUAUGUGUGAGUAUAUAUAC
Long non-coding RNA from Homo sapiens (human), 707 nucleotides. The record is from Ensembl. Lineage: Eukaryota; Metazoa; Chordata; Mammalia; Primates; Hominidae.